ACAAAAUGCCGUCGGAUAAAACCAAUGGCGGCAAAUGAAGAACCUGGUCGCAGAGUAUGAGAGCAAACGGCUAUGAGAGCGCAGACGCAAUUAAAUGCAAGAAGAGAACGCGUUGUCAUAGCAACGGCUGCGGCAGCCAUCUUGGAUGUGAGAGAGGAUUGUCUGUAGCGGCCAUGCUGUUGGCAAGCCACCGACACUCACCUGCGGCGGCGGCUAUUGUGAAGUUCUGUGACGUGACUGAAAUAUCGGAACCAGAGCUGCCGCAGAGCAGGCAAAUGUUGUUUGUGCUUGUGCGGCGACUUCUGCCAGGCCGCAGUGCCGCAGCUGCGACGUUCGCGGCGGCCGGUAAACGAGUGCGCCUGCGUUGUGCCCGGACUCCGACCUCGUCUGCCAUGUGGAUGGAUGGAAACAGAGACAGCGGCAGUGGCAGUGGCAGCGCAGCGGCUUUGUCGAGGUGAAUUUUUUUUUACUGUGACCCCCUGAAGAGAUGAGAAUUUGGACGACAGCUGUUUCGGACUUGGCGGAUGGAUACUUUACGCACAG
RNAcentral lists this small RNA (543 nucleotides) under Drosophila virilis. RNAcentral's name for it is "GJ26821". The record is from RNAcentral. Lineage: Eukaryota; Metazoa; Arthropoda; Insecta; Diptera; Drosophilidae.